This 106-nucleotide small nuclear RNA is filed under the name Marmota marmota marmota (Alpine marmot). The record is from RNAcentral. Lineage: Eukaryota; Metazoa; Chordata; Mammalia; Rodentia; Sciuridae.
GUGCUCACUUCAGCAGCACAUAUACUAAAACUGAAACGAUACAGAGAAGAUUAGCAUGGCCCCUCACAUGGAUGACAUGCAAAUUCGUGAAGCGUCCCAUAUUUUU